GACGAACGCUGGCGGCGUGCCUAAUACAUGCAAGUCGAACGCAGCGGGGACGGGUGAGUAACACGUGGGUAACCUCCCAUCAGAGGGGAUAACACUUGGAAACAGGUGCUAAACCGAUACUGAUGGAUGGACCCGCGGUGCAUUAGCUAGUUGGUGAGGUAACGGCUGACCAAGGCCACGAUGCAUAGCCGAUGUGAGAGGCUGAUCGGCCACAGUGGGACUGAGACACGGCCCAAACUCCUACGGGAGGCAGCAGUAGGGAAUCUUGGGCAAUGGACGAAAGUCUGACCGAGCAACGCCGCGUGAGUGAAGAAGGUUUUCGGAUCGUAAAACUCUGUUGUUAGAGAAGCGGUAUCUAACCAGAAAGCCACGGCUAACUACGUGCCAGCAGCCGCGGUAAUAC
RNAcentral lists this ribosomal RNA (403 nucleotides) under uncultured bacterium. RNAcentral's name for it is "partial 16S ribosomal RNA". It matches the Rfam family "Bacterial small subunit ribosomal RNA", at positions 28 to 526 of the family's 1533-position model. The record is from RNAcentral.